Molecule: long non-coding RNA, 411 nt
Filed under: Gossypium raimondii (Peruvian cotton)
Lineage: Eukaryota; Viridiplantae; Streptophyta; Magnoliopsida; Malvales; Malvaceae
Description: long non-coding RNA (GRAI_LNC010069)
Source: RNAcentral
UAGAGUGUAACUUGAAACACAAGAAGGAGCAAACCAAAAAGGGGAUCCAGAAACAAUCAACAUUCAACCACGAAAACAGAGAAGAACCAACGCUAAUACUCCCUUUUAUAAGAAUCUAUAGUGGAGAAGGUUCAAGAAUUCGACAACACAGAGAAGGAUGAGAAAGGAGAUUCGGCAGAGGGGACUAAAUAACUAUUCGGUCAAAACAAAACAAGAAAAGAAAAGUAAAAGGGAAAAGCAGAAAAAAAAGAACAAACCCGAGAGGUACCCGAAGUUUUUAGCAAAAUUCGGCACAAGUAAAAUUUGAAAGAAAAAACUGACCAAGGCCGAAGCAAACGGAGAAAAAACAACAACCCCAAAAUUGAUUCCCUCAAUGCCUAAAGACCAAAUUCAGCAUAAGCAUACCCCCAA